AUGCCCCGCCGCCUCGGGACGACCUACUCCGGCCGGAUCGCAGCCGCGACGCCGUCCCCCUCCGGCCCCUCCAUCACCGUCACCGUAUCCCCGACCCCUCCCCCGACGCCGCUCGACCCCCGCGGUUACCCGCUCCCCCGCCGCCACCUCAUCUGCGCCGCCGCCGGCAUCCUCCGUUUUCCCGCCUCUCCCACCCCGCUGGUCGACCUCGCAGACUACCUCCGCGACCGCCGCCUCACGCUCACCACCUCCGAGGCCUCUGAGAUAGUCAAGGCCCUCUCCCCCGACCCCGCCCUUGCUCUCGCCUUUUUCCGCUUCGCCCCCGCUUCCCUCCCGGGCUUCCGUCACAACGCCUUCUCAUACAACCGCAUCCUGGCUCUCCUCUUCCGCACCAGGGCGGACCCAAGCGAGGCUCUGCGUAUCGUCUCGGAGAUGGAGCGGGACGGCGUGGCCGGCAACAUCUCCACGGUGAAUUUGCUGGUUGGAAUGGGCGGAGGAGGCGUGGAGGUGACCAAGUGCCUGGAGCUGGCCAUGAAGUGGGGGUUGAGGCUUAAUGGCUACACCUACAAGUGCAUUCUGCAGGCUCAUUUGAGGAGCAGGGAGGUGUCCAAGGGGUUCGAAGUCUAUGAGGAAAUGCGCAGAAAGGGGUACAGGCUGGAUAUAUUUGCGUAUAACAUGCUGCUUGAUGCCCUUGCCAAGUCUGGAAUGCAGGUUGACCAAGCUUACCAAGUCUUUGAAGAUAUGAAACAAAAGUACUGUGAGCCGGAUGCGUACACAUAUACUAUACUAAUUAGAAUGUCUGGGAGGGCCGGGAAGACUUCUAAGUUUCUCUCAUUUUUUGAUGAAAUGGUAUCAAAAGGAUGUGCUCUUAACCUUAUUGCUUAUAAUACUCUUAUUGAGGCUCUUGGUAAGAACAAGAUGGUGGACAAGGUAAUCUUUGUACUUUCCAAAAUGAUCGAGGGCGACUGCCAGCCCAAUCAAUUCACAUAUAGCAUUACAUUGGAUAUUUUGGCAACAGAAGGACAACUGCACAGACUAAAUGAGGUUCUGAAUAUCUGUGAUAGAUAUAUGAACAAAUCAAUUUAUUCUUAUUUGGUCAAGUCACUUAGCAAAUCUGGGCAUGUAAGUGAGGCACAUAAUGUAUUCUGUCAGAUGUGGAACUCCUAUGAAACCGGAGACAUGGAUGCUUUCGUAUCAAUGCUUGAGGUGUUAUGCAAUUCAGGAAAAACAUUAGAGGCUAUUGAUCUCCUACAUAUGAUGCCUGCAAAAGGGGUUGCUACUGAUAUUAGCAUGUACAAUAUGGUCUUUUCAGCCCUUGGGAAGCUCAAACAGGUCUCUUUCAUAACUAGUCUCUUUGACAAGAUGAAAGCUAACGGGAUUGCUCCGGAUCUUUUUACCUACAACAUUGUGAUAUCAAGCUAUGGUAGAGUUGGCUUAGUUGGUAAAGCAUCUGGAUUAUUUGAAGAAAUGAAUGCUAGCAGUUGUAAACCUGAUGUCAUCACUUACAAUUCUUUGAUAAACUGUCUUGGGAAAAACGGAGAUCUUGAUGAAGCCCACAUGCUUUUCAAAGAGAUGCAGGAGAAGGGAUAUGAUCCUGAUGUAUUCACUUACAGCAUACUGAUUGAAUGCUUUGGGAAAUCUAAUAAGGUUGAUAUGGCAUGCAGCUUAUUUGCUGACAUGAUUGCAGAGGGAUGCAUCCCUAAUGUUGUAACUUAUAACAUCUUACUUGAUUGUUUGGAGAGGCACGGGAAGACAGCAGAAGCUCAUAAACAUUAUGAGACUAUGAAGCAGCAAGGGUUAACUCCUGACUCGAUAACUUACUCAAUACUUGAGCGGUUGGAAAGUAGAUCUCAGCGAACAGUACGAAUACGAAAGCCAGCUCGGGCUACAAGUUGGGUUGUCAGUCCUCUAAGAUGA
This 1917-nucleotide ribosomal RNA is filed under the name Triticum aestivum (bread wheat). Its description in RNAcentral is "partial small subunit ribosomal RNA". The record is from RNAcentral. Lineage: Eukaryota; Viridiplantae; Streptophyta; Magnoliopsida; Poales; Poaceae.